CCCUUAGAUGUCCGGGGCCGCACGCGCGCUACACUGAAGGAAUCAGCGUGGCUUUCUCCCUGACCCGAAAGCGUUGGGAAACCCGUUGAAUCUCCUUCGUGAUAGGGAUUGGGGCUUGAAAUUGUUCCCCAUGAACGAGGAAUUCCCAGUAAGCGCGAGUCAUAAGCUCGCGUUGAUUACGUCCCUGCCCUUUGUACACACCGCCCGUCGCUACUACCGAUUGAACGGUUUAGUGAGGGCCUCGGAUUGGUCUCGGCCCGCUCUUUACCGGGCGGCGCCGUUGGUCGAGAAGACGCUCGAACUUGAUCGUUUAGAGGAAGUAAAAGUCGUAACA
RNAcentral lists this ribosomal RNA (334 nucleotides) under uncultured eukaryote. RNAcentral describes it as "partial 18S ribosomal RNA". It matches the Rfam family "Eukaryotic small subunit ribosomal RNA", at positions 1470 to 1796 of the family's 1831-position model. The record is from RNAcentral.